GACGAACCGUGCGAACGUUGUUCGGAUUCACUGGGCUUAAAGGGCGCGUAGGCGGGUCGGUCCGUCUGGGGUGAAAUCCUCUCGCUUAACGAGAGAACGGCCCUGGAUACCACCGAUCUCGAGGGAGGUAGGGGCAUGUGGAACUUCCGGUGGAGCGGUGAAAUGCGUAGAUAUCGGAAGGAACGCCGGUGGCGAAAGCGACGUGCUGGACCUUUUCUGACGCUGAGGCGCGAAAGCCAGGGGAGCAAACGGGAUUAGAUACCCCGGUAGUCCUGGCCCUAAACGAUGGGUACUAGCUGGCAGACUGACAUGGGUUUGCCAUCGAAGCUAAAGUGUUAAGUACCCCGCCUGGGGAGUAUGGUCGCAAGGCUGAA
RNAcentral lists this ribosomal RNA (374 nucleotides) under uncultured bacterium. RNAcentral's name for it is "bacterial SSU rRNA". It matches the Rfam family "Bacterial small subunit ribosomal RNA", at positions 524 to 898 of the family's 1533-position model. The record is from RNAcentral.